Kytococcus sedentarius DSM 20547 is the source of this 366-nucleotide non-coding RNA. The record is from Rfam. Lineage: Bacteria; Bacillati; Actinomycetota; Actinomycetes; Micrococcales; Kytococcaceae.
GGGGAUGAUCGGUUUCGACGUCGAUCACUGUCCCAGGGGAAGCGGGCCGAGAAGGCAAGGUCAUCUCGUAAACGUUCCUUGCAAACCAAUAGGUGCCAAUUCCAAGCGCACCGACUUCGCCCUCGCCGCCUGAGCGAGCCCGAAGUCUGUCAGCCUGAGCUAGUUUCCGACUCAGUGCCUGGCAUCAUCUAGGAAACUUGCUGCCCAGCAUCGUCGAGGUGCUGGGUGGGACUCUUACUCGACUGGGCCUGUCAGGAGACGUGUGCGUGCGAGUCCUGGGGCCGAGAAAAUCCACAGCGCACUGCGCCCGGAGAAGCCCUGGUCGUGUGACGACGGACGCGGGUUCGAUUCCCGCCAUCUCCACCA